CGGACAGAGCUGGCGUAUCUGGCCUGUAUUCAGCCGUGUGCCCGCUGGCGUCAGGGAUGCCGCUCUCCAGAUUGGGACGGUGGCCUGUCUGCUGACGGGUGCGUGGUGCAUUUGCAGGUGGAGUGCGCUGAGGCGCUCGGGACAGCGGUAUGAGCUCAGUGUUGAGGCCAGCCCCUCACGGGGUCUGGUACCCGCAUUGUGGGGAGUGCUGUUUGUCCUGGGUGUGAUGUGAUGUGGGCAAUGGUUUCGGGUUCGCGUGGGUGCCGAGCUGGCAGUCGGUGGCGGUCGCGUGCGACACGUGCCAGCGGUCAGUUCGGUCCUGCUCGAGCUCUCAUCUGCUCGUCCUCGGUGUAAAAGCCGGUCAUCUGUCCGACCCGUCUUGAAACACGGACCAAGGAGUUUAGCGUGUGCGCGAGUCAUUGGGCGUUGAAAACCCAAAGGCGCAAUGAAAGUGAAGGUCUCCCUUNCGGAGCUGAUGUGUGAUCCUGGGCACUGCGGUGCACACCGGGCGCAACAUAGUCCCGUCCCGAUCGCUUGCGAUGGGGCGGAGACAGAGCGUACGCGCUGAG
RNAcentral lists this ribosomal RNA (569 nucleotides) under Rotylenchus magnus. RNAcentral's name for it is "eukaryotic LSU rRNA". It matches the Rfam family "Eukaryotic large subunit ribosomal RNA", at positions 420 to 813 of the family's 3401-position model. The record is from RNAcentral. Lineage: Eukaryota; Metazoa; Nematoda; Chromadorea; Rhabditida; Hoplolaimidae.